GUUGUCAAGUGAAUAAACUGAUUGUUGAAUCUUAAGAAGAUUAGGUAAAGUAAGAUUACAAGUAGGCAUAUCCUAUAAGAAGUUACAAACACACAUACAAACUAACAAGUGAUGUUUUUAUUCUUAGACAGGAUAAAAAGCAUGUGAUCAGUACUUCGAGAGAAGUGGACUAUUAGAAAUUAAUAGAAGGUAAAAAUAUUAUCUACAUUGUGUACAUAUAUAAAGCAUUAAGUCCUAUGAGCAACAACUACUAAAAUAGUUCUAGAAACACAAUUACUUAUACAUCUAUU
Molecule: long non-coding RNA, 290 nt
Filed under: Olea europaea (common olive)
Lineage: Eukaryota; Viridiplantae; Streptophyta; Magnoliopsida; Lamiales; Oleaceae
Description: long non-coding RNA (OEUR_LNC003067)
Source: RNAcentral